Arachis duranensis is the source of this 2408-nucleotide long non-coding RNA. RefSeq lists it as uncharacterized. NCBI's taxonomy places the organism in Eukaryota, Viridiplantae, Streptophyta, Magnoliopsida, Fabales, Fabaceae. The transcript has 3 exons. The record is from RefSeq and is a predicted model, not a curated record.
UGGGAAUACAUGCAGUAAAGGGAAGCUGGAGUUAGGGAGCACCGUUGUAGUGAGCAACGUCGACGCGACACAUGGCGGGGGAGGGACAACUCGGACCCUCCGAUUUGUGCCCACAAUGUGGACCAUCCGAUUUGUCAUAGAGAUUUCGGAUUGUCCGAUUUGUCCUUACCUGAUCCCACAAUAUGGUAAAGCACACACGCACUAUAAUUCUAUUUUUAUUUAUUUUAUAAAAUUACAUUAUUAUCCCUAUUUUUAUUUAAAUUUUCUAAUCUACCUCACACCACUCCAAACCCUAACACUACACUCACCGCACCUCACACUCACGGCGAACACACACACACAAGUCACCCACACUCACAAAGCAAAGAAUAGAAAAAAGAAAAGAAAGAAAAGAGAGUGGAGGUUGCGAGAGAAGAGGGAGAAUCCGAGAGAGAGAGAGAGAGAGAGUGCCGGGAAAGGGGGGAGCUGUCCGCGCUGCCACACAGCGUCGCCGCCAGACCGCGUCCAGCCCGCACUGCCUCUGCGCCAUGUGCCGCCGUCAAGCUUGCCUCACUGUUCGUCCUUGUUGCCGCCAACUACGCUGUCGCGGAAGGGAGAUGCACGAGAGAGGAGUGGCUGAUUCUGUCACCACCGCCGCGCCGUGCUCCACGCUGUCGCCGCCUCUAUUCCAUCACGAGAGAAGGACACGCAAGGGGGGAAACAGAACCGCGAGAGAGCUCAGCCACGGAGGGAGGAGAUGCGCGCUUAACCCAUCACCGAACUGCGUCGCUGUCCGUGAAGUUGUCUCCACCGCCGCUGUCGGAGGUUGUCACCGUGCCUUGCCUCUGCCGCCGGAGACCGCCGUUGGAUCCUCUGACUCGGGUCGAGCUUCGAGUCUUGCGUGCUGAGUUCAAUGGCUGUUGCAUGCGUCCUCAAGCUGCUACGUCGUCACUGGAGCUGCCUUUCCUCCGUUUUCUCAAUUAUUCGUGAGCCCAGUAAGUCAUUCCUUGUUCGAACUCUUUCAGUUGCUGUUUUGUUAUAGAUUAUUGAAUUUUACAGGACGUUAAUAUAUCAAGAUUGAGUGUUGUUGUGAGUGGCACUUUUGGGGAUGUUACGGCUGCGGGAAAUAGUCGGACUCGAUGCCGUUCGAUUUCAGGCCGAGGAGAAAAGGGAUUCUCUGAUGCGUUUGGUUGUGGGUUCGCUUGCUGAGGAGACGGAUGAAAAAGCCCACGAAGGGUUGUUUUGCAUUUUGCUUAGUCGAUAAUGCUAUUUAGUUUCUAUUUACUUACCCCUUCGCCAUCAAUAUUAUAUUAUGUAAGAUGGAUAGGAGUUGUAUAAUUUGUAUGUAUAUAAUAUGUAUAGGUUACUUGAGUAAGAAGUUUUGUACAUGUAUAUGCUUGUUUUGUUUCAUUUAAAGAGUAUAUUUUUUCCGGUUUUCAAAAAGAACAGUGAUACAAUUUCAAGUCAAAUACUCCUAUUUUAUUAUUAAGUAUAUGAAGUCGUCAUAAUACUUCUUACUAUCAGAGUAACGUAGCCAAAAGCGUGACAUUCUGAUAGUGAGGGUGUUACAUUGUGGCCAUCAACCUUUCCCAUAUUGAUUUAUCUACUAUUGUUUUGCUUCCUUUUUUUCCACCACCAUGCCUGCUCUUCCCAUGCCUUUCAUGCAGUUAUACACAAUCAAAGAGGGUAAUAAGUUGACACUUGAUAUUGUCCUCUCUAAUAAAAAAUUCUGAUAAUCUUAAAAUGACUAACUAAUUUAUUCUCGUUAUUUGUAUAAAAUAAUGUAUCAGUCAAUAUUAGUAUUUUUUUUCCAAUUUUCCACAGUAUUCUUAACUCACCAAAUUAAGGAUUGAUUCGUUGCAGAUUUGAGCUCUAUUUAAGGAUUUGUCAUUAAACAAUAAAUUGCUGUAUACAUAGGGCGGGACUCGAACUCACAAUGCUUAUUUAAGCAGAUGAGUAAGCUAACUAUUCGACCAACCCAAAUUAAUUUCAAUACUAAUAUGUUUGUUUUUAGAAUAAUAUGAGACGAACUUAUUCGAUGAAUUUGUUUAAUAAACAAAAUAUUUGUUAUUUUCAAAUUUUAGAAGAUUUUUUGUCCCUCUAUAUUUUUCAUUAAGAAAAAAAAUUGGGAAUUCAUUCGUCAAUAAUUGUAUGUACUUUUUGUUUGUCCAUGUACUUAUUAUGUCUUCUUCAUAGUAAUAAUAUGAAAAAGGAGCAUGACUUGAAAUUUUGUUAAGCGAUUUUUCAAACACAGCAAUAAAUUUCUCGUUGGUUAUUCGGUCUAUGUCAUGGUCAAGUUCAUCAAUGACUAAAGCAACUGUUUCCUCCACUUCUAUUGAUGCUUUAACAAAUGUGAUGUUCAUCAUUAUUUAUUUCAGUUCAGAUUGCGAGACGCAAUUGUUUUUUUUCGAACAAUCUGUUAAUUAUUG